This 1953-nucleotide ribosomal RNA is filed under the name Triticum aestivum (bread wheat). Its description in RNAcentral is "partial small subunit ribosomal RNA". The record is from RNAcentral. Lineage: Eukaryota; Viridiplantae; Streptophyta; Magnoliopsida; Poales; Poaceae.
AUGCAGAGAGAGAGGAGGAAGAGGGGCCAUGAAGCCAGUCAUGGUGACACUUGUGAAGAACGCAUUAUAGAGCGAAAGAAGACGAAGAGGGACCAAGAAGCUAGUCGCAACUCAUUGGUUUCAAGUAUUAUUUCUAAAAAAAUGCAGAUAUUUUGGCUGCCGACAGAGAAGAGCAGGAGGGACUAUUUGAUGUCAACAGUUACUCCUCGCCAAAGACGCAUGAUAGAGCGAAUGGUGCAACUCAACAAGACCUGGGACAAGCUCAAUGAAGAUUAUCUGGAACGAUUUGGAUGUCCUGAUACACCUGUUUCAAAUCGGAGUUUUGUAGAGAAGCCAUUUGGUUAUGCGGCUUCUGAUGAUUCGUUGUUGACUUCCAGUGUUGUCUCACUUGCUUUAUAUGAUGGAGAUAAGAUGUUAUUUGCAUGUUCGGGCGUAGCUUUAGGGCGUAAGGGAAGGGCGUAUCCAGUAGUAUCAAGAUUUGUGACUUCAAAACGUUUGGUUACAGAAUUUGAGAAAAACAGAAACAGAGCUGAUAAUUUGAGGAUUAAUGUGCGCCUUCAUGACAAAGAAAGUUUCGAUGGGUUCUUGGGACUAUAUGAUAGUCAUAUUGCUAUUGUCACGUCCUUUUGGUUCGCAAAUGUACCUCCUGUAGAUCUGCAUUCCCAUAUUGGUUGGCAGAAUGAUCUAGUAGCUUAUGGGCGAGCCUUCAGCUCGGGUAUUUUGAUGGCCACUUCUAAUGCCCCAACACAGCUGCUAGGUGCAGAUCAUCUGAUCAAGCAUGAUCUGAUCCCUUUCCCUUGUCCUGUCACAGAGGCUGGACUUGGAGGGCCAGUUAUUAAUGAAGCUGGGGAUGUUGUGGGAUUGAGCAUUAAGGUUGAUGUCGACGAGGAGACUACCUAUUUCCUACACCGUGUGGCGCUUCUUGCACGCUUGGAAUAUUUGGAGAAGUUAAUGCCAAACUCUACCAACUUCCGUGAAUAUACCUUGCCUGAUGGUGUAAACAGCAUAGUCCCAUCAGGGUUUAUGGCACAUGUUAACUAUUUAAAAUCAUGCGGAUAUCCUCAGCCACCACCACUUGUGCUCGAAGUUAAUGGGAGAUUGCUUAAUACAUUUGAAGAGGAUUUUGGUCAAUUAUAUGGUUAUGAGGACUGUGAUAGCAAUUUCUAUGAUCGUAGCUCUGAGGAGCAGGUCUGGGAUAAACUUCGAAAAAAAGUUGUUACAAAUAUUUGCCGGCGUGUUGUCUCACUUUCUUCAUACGACGGAGAUGUGAGAUCUUUUUCAUGUACAGGCCUACUUAUAAAGUGGCAUAAAACUGGUACGCCUGUUAUUCUGACUUCGGCCAGUUUGGUUAGAAGUCGGGUUGAUGAAAAUGAGAUUGAUGAGAAACUGAAGAUUAAGGUACUUCUCCCACCGAAACAGGUCGUUGAUGGGACACUGGAACUGUACCAUUCAGAUUAUAACAUUGCUGUCAUCAGUCUUCAGAAGCCUCUAUAUGGUAUUCGGCCAGAGUAUAUUUUCCGCACGGCGAAAAGGCCUCCAAGAGUAGUAGCUAUAGGGCGUGGGGCUCAGGAUGGAUUAUUGAUGGGGACAAUUGGUAAAGCGGUCAAGAAGCUCGCAGGCGACAAACUUCCUUGCGAAGACCUUAAGCUUUCUACUUGUAAAAUCACGAAGGUUGGGAUUGGAGGGCCACUUGUUAAUAUUGUUAAUGGAUUGUUUGCUGGCAUGAACUUCUAUGGUGAAACUGAUGUAACUCCUUACCUGCCGAGGGCAAUCAUUGUGGAAGUUUUAAGCGGGACUGAUCUCCCAUCUCAUAAAGGAAUGGACCAUGCCACUGACAUAAUGGGUGCCGCAACAGUUAAGAAAAACAGGUGGCGGGUGCCUAAGCCAUAUUGGUACCAUCCCCUAUUUGAAGAUCGUCGUCCUCUACAUUUUUAUGGAAGGCAACUCCAGUAA